This 394-nucleotide long non-coding RNA is filed under the name Mytilus galloprovincialis (Mediterranean mussel). Lineage: Eukaryota; Metazoa; Mollusca; Bivalvia; Mytilida; Mytilidae. The record is from RNAcentral.
CCCAUUUCCCAGUCCCAUAUAUUAUAUCAAAUAUUAUUGGAUGCCGAAUUGACUUUUAAAUAGGUGCCGAUUUGACUAGAUGCCGAUUUAACCAGGUGCCGAUUUGACUUGUACCCAGUAAUCUCGGACUAUUCACUUCGUAUCUUAUCACCGUUAAUUCUAGGAGGAACCCCAUUUCUAACUCUUUAAUUAUUAAUUUCCUUUGGGUCAGUGGGCAUGAAUCCUUCCGUACACACUCCUCUGUUUAAAUUGAGAUCGUUCUUAAUAUAAUACGACGUUUAUCGACAUCUAACGAGUUAAUUUUUUUCUUGACGAUUUUGACGGGAAAUACUUCUGAAAGGGAGACAACUCGAAACGAUAAUAUGGAAGACUCCAUUUCGGCUAAAGGGGUGUU